UACCAGCACCCCGAGUGGUCGGGACGAUUAUUGGGCCUAAAGCAUCCGUAGCCGGUCCUACAAGUCUUCCGUUAAAUCCACCUGCUCAACAGAUGGGCUGCGGAAGAUACUAUAGGGCUAGGAGGCGGGAGAGGCAAGCGGUACUCAGUGGGUAAGGGUAAAAUCCUCUGAUCCAUUGAAGACCACCAGUGGCGAAGGCGGCUUGCCAGAACGCGCUCGACGGUGAGGGAUGAAAGCUGGGGGAGCAAACCGG
Molecule: ribosomal RNA, 253 nt
Filed under: uncultured bacterium
Lineage: Bacteria
Description: partial 16S ribosomal RNA
Rfam family: Archaeal small subunit ribosomal RNA
Source: RNAcentral